GCCCUCCAGCCGCCCACGGCUGCUCCCUCCCCGCCGCCCAUCGCCACCGCGUCGCCGCGCGCCCUCGCCGUUGCCCGUCGUCUACACCCCAUCAGGCUUUGCCAGCCUCUGUGGUCCCUCGUCCUCGCGUCCGGCGCCCGCCUCCGGCCUCCCACCACUGCACGCGCACCGCACAUGCCUUACCGGCCGGCGAGCAGCAAGCAAGCGACCAAGCGUUGGUGUAGGCCUCGACGAGUGAUCACUGAGGGAGGCUGAUUGCGCGACUCCGUGAAGGCUUCCCCUGCACGGUAUCCAUUGGCGCCCACCUGUGAUCUCGUCUGGCAAGCAGCUAUUCCCUCACCCCACCUGACUUGGAUUGAUGGAUAGAAGUUGGGUGCAUGGAGUGCUAUUUACGCCUAAGUAUAUUGGUGGUGUGCAAUCUUUCAUGAGCUUCAUCA
Panicum virgatum (switchgrass) is the source of this 437-nucleotide long non-coding RNA. RefSeq lists it as uncharacterized. The record is from RefSeq and is a predicted model, not a curated record. Lineage: Eukaryota; Viridiplantae; Streptophyta; Magnoliopsida; Poales; Poaceae. The transcript is spliced from 3 exons.